Molecule: long non-coding RNA, 412 nt
Filed under: Ananas comosus (pineapple)
Lineage: Eukaryota; Viridiplantae; Streptophyta; Magnoliopsida; Poales; Bromeliaceae
Description: long non-coding RNA (ACOM_LNC010215)
Source: RNAcentral
UAGGAGACCUUUAUAGAUGGGAUGAGAUGGAUCGUAUCUCGGUUUAUUGAUCCUAAGUAUAUGUAUUAGGAUUCAGUUGGAUUUGAGGUUGAUUAGGCCCUAAGUAUAUGUGUUAAGACCUAAUCGAUAUUAAACUCUAUGUAUUAGAGUCUAAUUGGUUCAUGAGAUAUGGGUAUGAGAUCUGGGUAUUGGUUCAUGGGAUUUGGGUAUUGGUUUAUGAGAUUUGGGUAUCGGUUCAUGGGCUAUGGGUAUUGGUUUAUGAGAUUUGAAGAUGAUUUGGUUCAUGGCUCAUAGAAUUUGGCCUAUGGUUAAUGAGGUUGGGUAUAUGGUCCAUGGGAUUUGGUUCAUGAGGUUUAGUUGUGGUUCAUGGGAUUUGGUCCAUGAGGUUUAGUUUUAGUUCAUGGGAUUUGGU